UUAAGUCCCGUAACGAGCGCAACCCUUGUCCUUAGUUACCAGCACGUUAUGGUGGGACACUCUAAGGAGACUGCCGGUGACAAACCGGAGGAAGGUGGGGAGUGACGUCAAGUCAUCAUGGCCCUUACGGCCUGGGCUACACACGUGCUACAAUGGUCGGUACAAAGGGUUGCCAAGCCGCGAGGUGGAGCUAAUCCCAUAAAACCGAUCGUAGUCCGGAUCGCAGUCUGCAACUCGACUGCGUGAAGUCGGAAUCGCUAGUAAUCGUGAAUCAGAAUGUCACGGUGAAUACGUUCCCGGGCCUU
Molecule: ribosomal RNA, 305 nt
Filed under: uncultured Pseudomonas sp.
Lineage: Bacteria; Pseudomonadati; Pseudomonadota; Gammaproteobacteria; Pseudomonadales; Pseudomonadaceae
Description: bacterial SSU rRNA
Rfam family: Bacterial small subunit ribosomal RNA
Source: RNAcentral